CCCAACGAUUCACGAAGAUGAGACUAUCUUCAGACUGAACCAGGAGGUUCUGAGGCUUCACGUCGCGGUGGGCGACGCCGUUUUGGUGGCAGAAAUGCAGUGCCGCACGUCGCAGUGGGCGACGCCGUUUUGGUGGCAGAAAUGCAGCACCGAUACCAGCUGCUGGAAGUACUGUCGCGCGAACGGCCCAGCCAGCUUGCCGCGGCCCGAGAUCUUGGAGAACAGCUCACCGCCCGUGGCGAGCUCCACGACGAGAUAGAUCUUGGUCUUGGUGGCCAUG
This is a long non-coding RNA of Juglans microcarpa x Juglans regia, 280 nucleotides long. RefSeq lists it as uncharacterized. The transcript is spliced from 2 exons. Lineage: Eukaryota; Viridiplantae; Streptophyta; Magnoliopsida; Fagales; Juglandaceae. The record is from RefSeq and is a predicted model, not a curated record.